This 253-nucleotide ribosomal RNA is filed under the name uncultured bacterium. Its description in RNAcentral is "partial 16S ribosomal RNA". It matches the Rfam family "Bacterial small subunit ribosomal RNA", at positions 524 to 776 of the family's 1533-position model. The record is from RNAcentral.
UACGAAGGGGGCUAGCGUUGCUCGGAAUCACUGGGCGUAAAGCGCACGUAGGCGGAUCUUUAAGUCAGGGGUGAAAUCCUGGAGCUCAACUCCAGAACCGCCUUUGAUACUGGGGAUCUCGAGUCCGGAAGAGGUGAGUGGAACUCCGAGUGUAGAGGUGAAAUUCGUAGAUAUUCGGAAGAACACCAGUGGCGAAGGCGGCUCACUGGUCCGGUACUGACGCUGAGGCACGAAAGCGUGGGGAGCAAACAGG